GAGUUUGAUCCUGGCUCAGAACGAACGCUGGCGGCGUGCUUAACACGGGCAAGUCGAACGCGAAAGUUUUCUUCGGAAGACGAGUAGAGUGGCGCACGGGUGAGUAACGCGUAAGUUAUCUACCUCGGCAUCUGGAAUAACUCACCGAAAGGUGCGCUAAUACCGGAUACGUUGAGAAAUCAAGAAAGGUGGCCUCCGAAUAUGCUACCGUGCUGAGAUGAGCUUGCGUACCAUUAGCUAGUUGGUAGGGUAAUGGCCUACCAAGGCAACGAUGGUUAGCGGGUCUGAGAGGAUGAUCCGCCACACUGGAACUGAAACACGGACCAGACUCCUACGGGAGGCAGCAGUGAGGAAUAUUGCGCAAUGGGGGCAACCCUGACGCAGCGACGCCGCGUGGAUGAUGAAGGCCUUCGGGUCGUAAAAUCCUGUCAAGUGGAAAGAAGUGCAUAGUGGCUAAUAUCCAUUAUGUUUGACGGUACCACUGAAGGAAGCACCGGCUAACUCCUUGCCAGCAGCCGCGGUAAUACGGAGGGUGCAAGCGUUGUUCGGAAUUACUGGGCGUAAAGCGCGCGUAGGCGGUUUGUUAAGUCAGAUGUGAAAGCCCUCGGCUCA
This 612-nucleotide ribosomal RNA is filed under the name uncultured bacterium. RNAcentral's name for it is "bacterial SSU rRNA". It matches the Rfam family "Bacterial small subunit ribosomal RNA", at positions 9 to 611 of the family's 1533-position model. The record is from RNAcentral.